GAACGAACGCUGGCGGCAUGCCUACCACAUGCAAGUCGAACGAGACCUUCGGGUCUAGUGGCGCACGGGUGCGUAACGCGUGGGAACCUGCCCUUAGGUUCGGAAUAACUCCCCGAAAGGGGUGCUAAUACCGGAUAAUGUCUUCGGACCAAAGAUUUAUCGCCUUUGGAUGGGCCCGCGUUGGAUUAGCUAGUUGGUAGGGUAAAAGCCUACCAAGGCGACGAUCCAUAGCUGGUCUGAGAGGAUGAUCAGCCACACUGGGACUGAGACACGGCCCAGACUCCUACGGGAGGCAGCAGUGGGGAAUAUUGGACAAUGGGCGAAAGCCUGAUCCAGCAAUGCCGCGUGAGUGAUGAAGGCCUUAGGGUUGUAAAGCUCUUUUACCCGGGAUGAUAAUGACAGUACCGGGAUAAUAAGCUCCGGCUAACUCCGUG
This 434-nucleotide ribosomal RNA is filed under the name uncultured bacterium. Its description in RNAcentral is "partial 16S ribosomal RNA". It matches the Rfam family "Bacterial small subunit ribosomal RNA", at positions 27 to 507 of the family's 1533-position model. The record is from RNAcentral.